This 449-nucleotide ribosomal RNA is filed under the name uncultured bacterium. Its description in RNAcentral is "bacterial SSU rRNA". It matches the Rfam family "Bacterial small subunit ribosomal RNA", at positions 335 to 796 of the family's 1533-position model. The record is from RNAcentral.
ACUCCUACGGGAGGCAGCAGUGGGGAAUCUUGGACAAUGGGCGCAAGCCUGAUCCAGCCAUGCCGCGUGAGCGAUGAAGGCCUUAGGGUCGUAAAACUCUUUCGCCAGGGAUGAUAAUGACAGUACCUGGUAAAGAAACCCCGGCUAACUCCGUGCCAGCAGCCGCGGUAAUACGGAGGGGGUUAGCGUUGUUCGGAAUUACUGGGGCGUAAAGCGCGCGUAGGCGGACUAGUUAGUCAGAGGUGAAAUCCCGGGGCUCAACCCCGGAACUGCCUUUGAUACUGCUAGUCUUGAGUUCGAGAGAGGUGAGUGGAAUUCCGAGUGUAGAGGUGAAAUUCGUAGAUAUUCGGAGGAACACCAGUGGCGAAGGCGGCUCACUGGCUCGAUACUGACGCUGAGGUGCGAAAGUGUGGGGAGCAAACAGGAUUAGAUACCCUGGUAGGAUAGCC